GCCCCGGUAGCUCAGUUGGUAGAGCAGAGGACUGAAAAUCCUCGUGUCGGUGGUUCGAUUCCGCCCCGGGGCA
RNAcentral lists this transfer RNA (73 nucleotides) under Candidatus Dadabacteria bacterium. RNAcentral's name for it is "tRNA-Phe". It matches the Rfam family "tRNA". Rfam says of the family: Transfer RNA (tRNA) molecules are approximately 80 nucleotides in length. Their secondary structure includes four short double-helical elements and three loops (D, anti-codon, and T loops). Lineage: Bacteria; Pseudomonadati; Thermodesulfobacteriota; Candidatus Dadabacteria. The record is from RNAcentral.